This 33184-nucleotide long non-coding RNA is filed under the name Capsicum annuum. Its description in RNAcentral is "long non-coding RNA (CANN_LNC015207)". Lineage: Eukaryota; Viridiplantae; Streptophyta; Magnoliopsida; Solanales; Solanaceae. The record is from RNAcentral.
UUUGUCCAAACUAUUAUACCUCGUCUUAAAGAUUCACUCUCCCUCGCUCUCAAACACUAUACACCCUUAGCUGGAAACCUUGUUUGUCCAAUAGAUUCGAGUGGUCAUCCUGAGUUGCGUUAUAUGCCUGGUGAUUCUGUGUCUGUUACCUUUUCUGAGACUGAUAUGGAUUUCAAUUAUCUCAUUGGUAACCAUCCCCGAAAUGCUAAGGAUUUUUAUCCCUUGAUUCCUCAAUUGGCGGAACCUAAAGAUGCACCCAGGCUAAUACUAGCCCCGUUGUUAGCCAUUAAAGUAACACUUUUUCCGAAUCUUGGCAUAUCCAUCAGUUUCAGUAACCAUCAUGCCGCUUGUGAUGGAAACACCAUAGUAAGAUUCACGAGAGCAUGGGCUUUACUCAACAAAUUCGAUGGGGAUGAACAAUCUAUAGCGAAUGAGUUCAUUCCAUUCUAUGGUAGGUCCGCAAUAAAAGACCCUAAUGAACAAGGGACUACUAUGUGGAAUAUAAUAAAGACAUUUAAGCCGGAGAUGCGUGACAUAGUUACGAUUCCUGUUGAUAAAGUUCGAGCUACAUUUAUUCUAGGACAUGAUAAAAUCGUGAAGCUCAAGAACUUAGUUUUGUCAAGGCGACCAAGCCUAGAACAUGUGACAUCUUUCACAAUAACAUGUGCUUAUGUAUGGACUUGCUAUGUAAAAUCAAAGGCCACAGUUUGGGAAGAGAAAGACAAGAAUGUACUGGAGUUCUUCAUAUGUGCAGUAGAUUAUAGAGCGCGACUUAAUCCACCACUUCCUCAAUCUUAUUUUGGGAAUUGCAUAAUAGGGUACAAUUCAGAAACAACACAUAUUAACUUAAUUGGUGAGGAAGGCUUUACAAUUGCUGCGGAAUUAAUUGGAAAAACCAUUCAAAAAAGGCUGAAGGAUGAGGAUUGGCUCCACAGUGGUAACUGGUUUAAAAGUUUUGGUACCGUUGACCACAAACGAGCGUUUGGACUUACUGGAUCUCCAAAGUUUGAUUUAUAUGCUACUGAUUUUGGUUGGGGUAAACCAGCCAAGUUAGAGUCCAUUUCUAUUGAAAGUGGAGAAGGUGGUGCAAUGUCCCUCAGCAAGUCUAGGGACUCUGAUGGAGACUUAGAGAUUGGCUUGUCUUUGUCGAAAGCUCACAUGAAUGCAUUUGCUUCUAUAUUCAGUCAUGGACUAAGCUUUGUGUAGUAACCUAAGCUUGUUUGGAUGGUUGUUACCUAUUGUAUUGUGUUGUUAGUUAUUUUGUAGUUCUUUCUUUAUCUCUUAGUAUAAGAGUGUAACAUCUUUGUGGAUGCUACAUGUUAGUUAUUUAUCCACUUGUUCCAAGCUGUGAUUUAGUCCAGCUCAUUUAGCCAGCCCAAUGCAUUUUGUCCAUCAUAAACAUUUCAAGAGGUCAAACACUAUUGGCUGGUCAAAUCUUAUAUGCAUUAACCUCGGUAAACCGUAAUCUCAAGAUUGUUUCUAUUGGGGUUGUUGUGUAUAAUUAAAAACGAUAACAUAUUUUAUGUGAUUAACGUAUUUAUUUAAUGUACGCUUGAGAACAUGUGCAAAAAUAUUAUUCAAAUUGAAAAUAUCUACUAAAAAAUAUUUUACAGGUGUUUCAAUUUAAAUGAGAUUUAUUAGCAAAUUUAAAGACAUUCAAACACGGCAGUUUUUUAUGUGGCUCUGGAUGGCCGCAAUGCAAAAUCAGCCACGUAGCCGAUCCAUAAUGCAUCGAGACAACAGUUCAAAUUACAACCACGCACAUUUACUGCCGUGUGGUCGAUAAGAUAUACUGGGAUGGAUUGAGACAUUUAGAUUCACAUAAACUCAAUGACUUAUUUAUGAACUUCAAAAUAAUAUGAAUGCGAUUACAAAAUCUAUUGGUAAUAUACUUAGAAAUAUUUAAUUAUGUUAUAUUGUUUUUCGGGUAGGUUAAAAAAAAUUAUAUUUUUCAACGAGAACUUCAACUAUAAGUUUAAAGAACUGAUAAACAACCACAAGGAGUUCAAACUAUUUAGUAGAAAAUAGCUAAACCAAACAUCUAAAAAAAAAAAGAUGAAUAUAGAAAGAUUCAAGUCUAUUGAAUUCACGGUUUGUCCUUAAGAAAAUUAUUCCCCUUAGGUACUUGAGGUUAUGAAAUAUAUCCUCACAGGAUAAAAUGAUUCAUAUUAAUAGAAUAGUGAUACCUUAAAUUCUGUCGAAUACAAAUGCACUCAAUGAUUUGUAGAUAACGCUUGAAUUUAUACAAAGACGCAAGUUUAUAAUUUCAAAAUUUUGUGUCAAUGCCUGAGGAAAAAUCAGGGAUUUAUAGCCAAAAGAUGUUCCUUCUGAAAAGAAAAAAUGGUUCGUGAAAUUUACAACUUUUUAAAAUGUCGCGAGUAUGACAUCGGGACCCUACAUGCAGCUAUACAUUGCGACAUGCAUCCGCAUGUCAGCCAUUGCACAAAACAGUGUGUUUUGGCUGACUUGUGUUGGCACAUGUGCUAGCAUCUGUGUAAUCAGAUGGCCAAGUGCGUCGGCAAGUCUCACUUUCAUUUUCAAAUAGUGCCUCGAAGGGUCGCGUCCCUUCGAGGUGCGUUAUGACUGCACAUGCUCGUGUGUGUCUACAAAUAGACAAAAAUUUCGUAUAAGAUUUUUGGAUUAAAAAUCAUUAACUCUCAAGUUUCAAAUGAAUUUUUUAAAAAAAGAUAAUUUUUAGAUUAUUUUCCAAAUGCAAAUUUGAAGUCAAAGCCGAGCCGAGCGACAACGACAACACGAGUCUUCUUCUUGCCUCACUAUCCACGUGAAUGAAUGCUUCUAUAUUUAAGCAUGAAAUAGUUUUUCUACCACCAAUAUGGGAGAACACUUCUUCCACAGAAUGAAUACUUUUUUUUGUUUUUCCUCCAUUUUUCAUUCACUUUCAUCACUAACCCAACAAUCCCAACAUGAAUGCGAAUGACUUAUUUAUCAAAAAAUUAUAGGAAAAGUGUGUGAUCUAAAAGUAAAGACUAAUUGAAUCUGGAUAUGUAGGUUUCUUUUGAACUUUUCGUAGUGAACUUGUGUUAGAUACACUCGGUAGAUGCGAUAUCUUUGAACCUUCAAACUUUUGUAUACAUCUAGAAAACACAAGUCACACAACCAGUCUUUUACCAUUUAUGAUUCUCACGAUUUUGCUUGUUUCAUCCAUGAACUACCUGGAUUCAUAAGAGCUUAGAGAAUAGGCCUUUACUAUCAUUCUCCUUAAAGUGGCUUCCACUUUAUCCUCACAUAGGUAAUUUCUAAACGUUUAAUGCUAUAAAUCAAACUAUAUGGUCAUACUUGCCAAACUUAGAAACCAUUAAAAAGCUUUAAUCCAUAAGCUUUAUCUCUGUUUUCUAAACAUUGUCUUUGUUAUGAGAAUAAGUUGAGUUAAUUGAAAAUAUUGAACCAUCAGUCACAACUUUGUUUGAUCUCCUUGAACUUAACUCUUGAAAUCUCUAGUUUGCUAGGUAGAGUUACCGCCGUGAUGGCUUGUUUUAGGCCUUCAACCCAUUUUCUUCGAGGACCUCGCAGCUCCCUCUCUAGUUAGUGAAAGUAGUAAUAGGGGGUGAAUUACUCCUUUCGACUUUCUUCAAUAGACAGUCCACUAUUGAGUGUAGUAAUGAAAACAUCUGAAAAUACAAUGCUGAAGGUAAUUAGCACCAGAUAUUUUAUAUUUAUUGGGACCUCUAAUAGGUCUUACUCUAGUCCCCUUGGAUUGCAAGAGAUUCUACUAGUUUGUUUUGUGAAAAAAAUUAAAGUACAAGAUUGAGUCAAGAUUUUUUACGUUGACUCACAUUCUGUUCUUUUUACCACACUUUGUUACAAUGCCUCACCAACUAUGUAUUUAUCUCCUCUCUUUUUAAGUAAAUAGUAAAUAUUUAAGAGCAUACAAUGCUUAAGUAGAGCAAAGAACUAGAGAAAGUCAAUGGUUAUAUAGUAGUGUUUGCACUGCUACUAGCCGUUGGAAGUUAGAAGGCAAUCCAAAAUAUUUUUCUUCUUAGGAAAUGGAAUAAGAAAUAUUCAUUUUCUAAGAAUAAGUAAAGAUUAAAAUAAAAAUCUAACUAAGUACAAUAUAUACACAAAAGAGAGAUACAGAAAUCCCAUGAAAUUAGUAAUCCAUUUAAUGCAUCAGAUUUUUUUUCUUUUUUGCCAUGUCUUUUGUUACUCAACAAAAUUUUCUGAUAGAACUUUCUUCAAUCUAUUCAUAGUAACAUGUGUUUUCUUUUUUUGUUUGCCAAUCUUCUUGAUUUACUCUCCUUAGAAUCUCCAGCAAUCUUCCUUUUCUUCUUGUGAAAUGCUUCUUCCUUUUUGAGUUUUAUUCAAACUAAAUAUUCUUGGUACUGAAUUCCUGCAAUUAAAUCAAACUCAUUGGUCAUUCAAAAAAAUCUUAACAUUAUCAAUCUCCUUUUUUUUUUAAAUGGAUGACAAAAGAAAAUUAGAUUACUUCCCUGCUUAGGUUCUCCCCUUGAAUGAGUAACUCUCCCCUAAAUAACUUUUUCUGCAAGGUUAAAUACACCAUAUACACCAUUUCUCUCCCUUUGAAAUCAAUCAAAAAGGAAGAAAGACAACACACACAAAAUACCAACUAAGUAGGAGCAAGCAGGCAAACUUUAUUAAGUGAUCUUUGGCUCAAAAAUGUUUUGCAAUUAUAACAAAGGAUUUUCUAAGAGAACCAAAUCUUUCUUCAAGCAAAGGUUUAGUAAAAAUGUCAGCCAAUUGAAAAUCAGUGCUCAAAGAUAAUUUAAUAUCUCAUUUUGAAACAUGAUCUCUAAUAAAAUGAUGGUAAACAUCAAUAUGUUUUGCCCUAGAAUGAUGCACAGGAUUCUUAGACAAGUAAAUAGCACUAGAGUUAGCAUAGAAUAUUUUGACAAGUUUAAACGUAGAUCAUAAUCACUGAAUUGAUAAGGCAUCCAAAGAAUUUGGGCACAACACAAUCCAAUAGCAAUAUACUCAAAUUUAGUGAAGGAUAGUGAGACGUGAUUUUAUUUCUUGCUAUUCCAUGAACCAAGGGAUUGUCCCAUGAAUUGGCAAGUACCACUGGUGUUUUUUCUAUCCACUUUAUCACCUGCAUAAUCUGUAUCUGAGAAACCUUUUAAUAUAAUUUCAAUAGACUUAGGAUACCAUAAGCUACAUGAGUUUUUAUCAAUAAGGUAUCUAGUAAUAUGUUUCACAACAUUUAGAUGAGCUUCUUUAGGAGCUAACUGAACCCUGGCACGUUUACAUACUAAAAAGAAUGCCAGUUUGACUGGCUAUAAGAUAUAAGAGUGAAUCAAUGAUACCACGAUAGUUGGUUUCAUCAACACUUUUACCACCUUCACAUGACUUUAGAACACAAGUGGAACUCAUAGGAUUAUUAGAUGAUUUGUCAUUUUCCAUCCCACAUCUUUAAAUAAGAUCUUUGGUGUACUUACUUUGGUAGAUGAAUGUGCCCUCAAUAGACUAAUGGAUUUGUAAUCCAAGAAUGAAUGUUAAUUCUCCCAUCAUGCUCACUUCAAAUUCACUUGCAUUAAUUCAGAGAAUUCCUUGCACAAAACAGCAUUAGUAUUUCUAAAGAUAAUAUCGUCAAUAUAAAUUUGAAUGAUCAAAUUUCUAGAGAAGGUUCAUUUGAUAAACAAAGUAGUAUUAAUUUUUUAUCUUGUGAAAUCAUGUUCAAUUAGAAAGUUGCUCAGUGUAUCAUACCAAGUUCGAGGAGCUUGUUUUAGAUCAUAAAGAGUUUUGGAGAGUUUGAAGACAUGAUAUGGAAAGUUUGAAUUUUCAAAAUCUGGGGAGUUGUUUUACAAAAACUUGCUCAUUAAUAAAUCCAUUUAAAAAAAUACUUUUCAUAUCCAUUUGAAAUAAUUUGAACCCUUUAUAAGAUGCAUAAGCAAGUAAAAUUCUAAUAGAUUCUAACCUUGCUAUAGAUGUGAAGGAAUCAUCAUAAUCGACUCCUUUUGUUGUGAGUAGCCUUGAGCGACUAGGCGAGCUUUAUUUCGCAUAAAGUUACCCGAUUCAUCCAUUUUAUUUUUGAAUACCCAUUUGUUACCAAUAAUAAAGACAUUCUCUGGUUUUGGAACAAGAGUCAACACAUUAUUUCUUUCAAACUACUCAAGAUCUUCUUUUAUUGCCUUUAACCAGCUAUCAUCUUCUAAGGUUUCAUUGACUUUCUUUGGUCCAAGUUGAGAUACUAGGGCUAUGUUCGCAUUUCUCCUAUUAGAUGCCCAUUUUUGCAUUCCUUUUUUUAGAUCUCAAACGAUAAAUUUCUUUGGAUAAUCAGGCUCACUUCUCCAUUCAUUUAGAAUUGCUUCUUGUUUAACUUGACCAUUUGAAGCAAUAACAAACUAGUUAGUUUCAGUACUGGCUAGUUUGGAAGAGAAGUCCUCCUUAGUAAAAGGAGUUUUAUUAACUUUUACCUAUUUAAUCUCAUCGUCCACAGAGCUAACAUUCUUUACAUAAUGAUUAAUAUUAUCAGAAACAACAAGUAUAGAUUCCUCAAUGUAAAGAGUGUAUUUAUUGAAAAUUCUAUAUGAUCUACAAGAUUUAGAGUAGCUCAUAAAAAUACAUGCAUCGCUUCAUGGAUCGAACUUACCAAUGUUGACCUUGCUAUUGUUGCAUACAAAAUAUUUUGAGCCAAAUGCAUAAAAGUACCCAAUGUUGGGUCUUUUAUUGUUUUAAAGCUCAAAUCGAGUUUUCUUCAGAAUAAGUCUAAUGAGACACCUAUUUAAAACAUGACAUGCAGUACUGGUGGCUUUUUCUUAUACUUUAUGUAGUAGAGAGUGUUUUCAAAUCAUGGUUCGAUCUAUGUCUAGAAGUGUUCUAUUUUUCCAUUUAACAACACCAUUUUAUUGAGGGGAUCUUGGAGAUGAGGAGAUAAAAGUGUUCCCUUGAGUAUCACAAAAGAUUUUGAAAUCUUUAUUCUCAAAUUCUCCCCCAUGAUAACUUCUAAUGGUAGAGAUAUAGUAACCCUUGUCUCUUUGAAACUUUUCACAAAAAACUUCAAAAUUCUUUUACCACCAAUGCUAUCAGUUCUAGUUGGACGAAAUAAAUCCAUAUGAAGUAGUUGCAAGGAUUUAGUUGUGGACACUAUAUCUUUAACACAAAAAUAAUUUUUGGUUUACUUACCAAGAUGACAUGCAUCACAAAUAUUAGUCAUUUUAAAAUCAAUAUUUGGCAAUCUAGUCACAAGUUCAUACUUGACUAAUUUUUCAACAUGGCUCAUGCUUGCAUGACCAAGUUUUCUAUGCCAAACUCAGGGAUCAUCAGAUAUGGAGGCAAGACAUAUGUGUCCUUAUGUCUUAUUGAUAGAGUCUAGAACAUACAUAGUGUUGUGUUUGUUUCCAGCGAGGAUUUGCCUUCUAUGCUUUUCGAUUAUGCAUUCUUCCCUUUUAGAUCUUACCUCCAACCCAACAUUAUAUAGCUAACUGAUACUUAAUAGGUUGUACUUCAAGUUUUUGAUCAAAUAAACAUUAGUAAUAUCACAUGAAUUAUUAAAGGAGAUAGUACCAAUACCUAUUAUUUUUCUUUGGAGUUAUCUCUAAAGCUGAUGUCACCUCCAUCAAAAUCAAUUGUAGUUUCGAAAGAAUUCUUUCUUCCAGUUAUAUUAUUUGAACAUCCACUAUUGAGAUACCAUUUCCCUUUAGAUUUUGAGUGGAGUUCCUGAAAACUAGAUGUAUCACUUAUUUUUAGGUACCAAAGCAUUCUUGUGUCUCUUGAGAUUAGCCUUUAAAUUUGUUGGCUCAGUUUUGGGUCUCAAAAUCCAUUUACUAGGAUUUUUAUAGCAAAAUCUGCCAUUAUAAUAUUUAUGACCAGGCUUCCCAUUUUGAUAACAAGAAGUAUACUAUUGAUUAGUCGUUGUAUAGUAAGUAUUGUAACUACGACUAUGUCUCCUAGUUUACUGGCUUGAGUUAGUUAACCUUUGAGAUCAAUCAUAGCUAUAGUACAUUUGGUGAUAGGUAUUAGGACUAUGAUUGCUCUCUUUGGUUUACUCGAAUUAGUUGAGAUUUGACAUCCUUCAUAGCUAUAAUAUCUAUUACUAUCAGAUUUAAUUAUUGAGUUAGUCAACUGGUUUAACAUGACAAUACUCUGGGUAGGAGAUUUUUCAAAACUAUUAAUCUUGAUUUUUAAAUCAUCAAAUUCUUCUUGUAGGUACUCUUUUUUUAUUUGACAAACAUUAAGUUUAAACUCCCAAUCUCUUAUUCUCUUAAUAGAGAUUUUUUACUUCAUGGGCUUUAUUUUAAUCAGCUAUGGUGAAGUCCAACAAAUUUUGAAGUUUUGAACUUUCAUUAGAGGAGAUAACUCUUACCUGGCUAGAUUCCUCAAUUGCCAUAAAGCAACAGUAUCCAAUGUUAUCAUUUUCCUGGCUGAUGCAGCAGCUGAAUGUCUUUUGAUUUCCCUUGGAGGUUCUUCUUCUAGCUUCUGGACAAUCAUAAGUAAUAUGAUCAUAUCUACCAUAAUGUUUUCCCUGGGAGUAAUUUAGUCUUCCCCUUCUUUGAUUUCUAGAUCUUUUGUAAUUUUUCAUAAUUGUUCUUGUGAUAAGAGCAAGUUCAUCUACAUCCAGGUCAUUAUAUUCUUUUUCAUUUGUAGCUUUGAAGGCCACAAUUUUCUUCUUUUCCUGUUGGUAUUGGUCCAUAUUAUUUAAGUGAGCCUUUUCAAAGGCAAUACGGUAUCCUCUGACUUCAUCGUAGGUCAUGUUGUUCAAGUUUAUGCUUUCAAGAGCCAUAACCUUAGAAAUUCACUAAGGAGAUAAACUUCUGAUAAUCCUUAUAAUUUGAUCUACCACAGAAUAGGUUUUUCCUGCAGCUUUGAGUUCCCCAACAAUUUUUCCAAACCUGGUAAAUGUUUCUUUAAUGGUUUCCCCCUCUUUCAUUUAGAAAAGUUUGUGUCAUAGACGAAUAACUUACAAGAGCUUGUUUGACCUUCUCAAUUCCUUCAUAUGUUACUUUUAGUUUAUCUUAUAUUUCUUUGGGAAUUUCAUAGCAGGAAAUCUUCUCAUACUCUUUACAACUGAUUGCAUUAUAUAGAAUAUUUUUAACCUUAGAGUUGAUCAAAAUGAUCUCUAUUUUCUCAACAGUAUAAUUCUCCAAGGAUGGAAUGCUCUCAGUAGAUUUUUCUCCAUUUUUUGGUGUCUUUCCAUUUUUGUCUUUGUUAGUAGAGACAAGUGGAAGAUCACCAAGUUUUAUUACUCGCCAAACUUUGACAUCAUACGAUUUUAUGAAGGCCUGCAUCCUUAUUUUCUAAUAAGAAAAGUGUUUCUCAUUAAAAUAAGGAGGUCUAGUUUGAGAUGUCCCUUCAGAGAACAGUGCUCUAGUAAUAGUUUGAUCCAUGAUCUUUUCUCAGUUGUUUUUAGGCAAAUACUUGUGAGUCCUUUCUCUGGUACCAAUUGAAAGUAGUGAGAGGGGGUGAAUUACUCCUUUUUCGAUUAGAAAUUGACUUCCAUCAAUAGAUAGUCGACUAUUGAGUACAAUAAUAAAAACUUCUGAAAAUAAAAUAUUGAGGGUAAUUAACACCAAAUGUUUUAUACUGGUUGUGACCACUAAUAGGUCUUACUCCAUUCCCCUUGGGUUCUACUAGUUAUUUUUGUGAAUAAAAUCUAAGUACAAGACUGAUUCAAGCUUUUUGGAUUUAACUCACACUCUCUUAUUUAUACCAUACUUUGAUACAAUGCCUCACCAACUAUGUGCUUCUCACCUCUCUUUUUAAGUACACAGUAAACCCUUAAGAGAAUAUAAUGCUUUAGUAAAGUAGAGCAAAGAACUAGAGAUGGUUGAGAUAAGUGUAUGUCUCUUUAUCUGACUUCCAAUGGUUAUAUAAUAGUGUUUGGACAACUACUAGUUGUUGGAAGCUAGAAGGCAACCCAAAGAAUUUUUAUUCUUAUGUGAAUAAGGAAUAUUCAAUUUUUAAUAAUAAAUAAAGACUAAAAGGAAAAUCCAACUAAGUACAAUAUAUACACAAGGGAGAGACACGACAAUCCCAUGACAUUAGUAAUCCAUUUAACGCAGCAAAUCUUUUUUCCUUUUUUGUCAUGCCUUUUGUUAAUCAAUAGAAUCUUCUGAUAGAACUUUCCUUAAUCUAUUCAGAGUAAAAUAUCUUUUCCUUUUUCGUUAGCCUAUCUUCUUGAUUUACUCUCCUUAGAAUCUGCAACAAUCUUCCUUUCCUUCUUGUGAGAUACUUCUUUCUUUUUGAGUUUUAUUCAAACUAACUAUUAUUUGUACUGAAUUCCUACAAUUAAUCAAACUCAUUGGUCAUACAUUAAAAUCUUAACAUUAUCAGUAGGCCCUCUGUAAGUGAAUCCAACAAAUUAUCCUUUAACUUUACAUAGUCAAUUGUAUAAUUCCACUACAGAGUAGUUCUCCAAUGAUAUUAUGUCUCCAGCUUAUAUAAUGAGAUUUACCAUUAUACAUCAUGCUCCUAGCCUACCUAUUGCAGCUUGACUAUCACAGUGUAUACAUACUGGUGCUAAAUGUUUGGGCCAAUAAGGAAUAUUUAAAAAAAAAAAAAUUGAAGCUACUUCACCAGUCUUAUCUAAAGCGAUAAAUUUAGAUUUCAUUGUAGUGUGAGCAAUACAUGUCUAUUUGGAUAAUUUCCAAGAGAAUGCUCCUCCACUAAAAGUAAACACAUAACCACUCAUGGAUUUUACUUCACUUUAUCUAGUGAUCCAAUUUUCUUCACUAUAUCUUUCAAUUACUAUUUGAUAUUUGUUAUAAUGCACAUCAUAGUCUUGAAUAUGUUUUAAAUAUCCCAAAACUCUUUUUAUUGGCAUCCAAUGAGUUUCAUUGGGAUUACUAGUAUGCCGACUCAAUUUACUAAUUGUACAUGCUAUGUCUAGUCGCGUACAGUUCAUGAUAUACGUCAAAUUUCUCAAUACUCUUGCAUAGUACAAUUGUGAGACACUUUCUCCUUCAUACUUUUGAAGUGCAAAUCUCACGUCUAAUGGAGUCUUGGCAAUAUUAAAAUUUAAAGACUUGAACUUGUCAAGUACUUUUUCAAUAUUUUGAGACUAUGACAAUACCAAUCAAUAUGGAGUUCCAUAAAUUCUUAACUAAGAUCACGUAACUCCAAAUUAUUUCAUAUCAAAUUUACUUUCUAACAUUCCUUUAAUAUCAUUUAUGUCAGAAAUAUCUCUACUGAUGAUCAACAUGUCAUCCACAUACAAAAAAAUAAUGACUUUGUGAUUUGGAGUUUCUUUAAUGUAAACACAUUUGACACACUCAUUAAUCUUUAAUUCACUUGCCAAUAUGGUUUUUGGUCAAACUUUGCAUGCCAUUGUUGAGUGCUUGUUUAAGUCCAUAAAGUGAUUUACCAGGUUUGCACAUUUUUGUUCUUUACUAGGAACUAUAAAAUCCUCGAGUUUUUCCCUAUAAAUUUCUUCCUUUAGUUCUCCAUUUAAUGAAGUUAUUUUCACAUUUAUUUUAUGGAUUUCAAUACCAUAUACCACAAUAACUGCAAUCAAUAUCCAAAUGGAUGUUAUCCUUAUUACUGGUGAGUAUGUGUCAAAAUAAUAAAGACAUUCCUUUUGACUAAAGCCUUUGACUACAAGUAUUGGCUUGUCUUUGUCAAUAGUCUCAUCAACUUUCAUUUUCCUUUUGAAGAUCUAUUUUGAACCUAAAGGUUUAUUUUCUGAAGAAAGAUCAAUCAAUUCUCAACUAUGGUUGCUCGAGAGUGAAUCAAUCUCACUAUUGACAAUCUCUUUUCAGAAGAAUGAGUCUGUAGAAGACAUGUUUCUUUAAUUGUUUGAGGCUCAUUUUUAAGAUGAAAUGUUAUAAAUCAUAUUUAAAAGAAGUCGACCUCAUUUGACAUUUACUAUGCCUUGGAUUCUCUUUAUUAAGUACAUUCUCCCUUGGUUCAUCAUUAGGUCAUUUAGACCCUUCACUAAACAACUCAUAUCUAGUCUUGUAUGGAUAAAUACAUUCAAAAAGCUCAGCGUUAUCUGAUUCAAUUAGCUUAUAAUAAUAAAUAUUCAGAUAUUUAUAUUUAUAAACAAAAAAUUGACAUGUCUUACUGUUUGUAGCAUAUUCGAUGAAAACACAGUCCACAAUCUUUGAUCCUAUCUUUAACCUUUUUAGUAUAAAGAGUGAAUUUUGGAUAAACACCCCUCAACGACAACAACAACAACAGACCCAAUGUAUUCCCACAAAGUGGAUAAACAACCCUACACUUUAAAAUAUUUCAAGUUGGGUAUCUUUCCUUUCUAUUUCUCAUAUAAAAUUGAUUGUGUCUUGCUAUGGGGAAAUCUAUUGAGUAAAGGAUGUAGGUGCAUUAGUCAAUCCGAAAGAUAUCACCAGAAACUAAGAAUGGCCAUACUGAGUUAUAAAAGUUUUCUUCGGUAUAUCUUAUGAUAUAUUUUUCAAUUGAUUAUAACUCAAACUUAAAUCAAUUUUUAAAAGAACUGACUCACCCUGUAACUGAUCAAACAAGUCAUUUAUUCAAGGCAAGGGAUAUUUGUUUUUUAUGGUAACCUUAUUCAACAACCUAUAAUCAGUGCACAUCCUCAAACUACCAUUCGUCUUCUUGAAAAACAAGAUCGGAACAACCAAAGGUGAAAAACUUGGAUGAAUAAAACCUUUGUCAAGUAGCUCCAAUAGUUGAGUUUUAAGCUCCCUUAACUCCACUGGAUCCAUUCGAUAAGGUGGAAUAAAAAUAAAGUGAGUGUCAGGCUCUAAGUCAAUUCAGAUAUCGAUAUCCUUAUCUGAAGUCAUACCCGGUAGGUCUGAAAGAAACACAUACUGAAAUUUAGAUACUAUCAAAACUGACGCUAUAAAAGAGAACCCCAUGUCUACCUCUCAGAAUGAGAUAAAAAUAAUAAACACACCUUCCCCACUAGCCUCAUAGCCUGGACAUACGAUAUAAUCUUUACUAGUAUGGCUUUAUACACUCCCUCCCACUCUAGUUCCUUUAUCCCAAGCAUAGUUAGUCACUGUUUUAGCAUUACAAUUUAAAACAACAUGAUAUGGAGAUAACUAGGUCAUACACAAAGUUACAUCAAAGUCCAACAUAUUUAGAAUAACCAAGUCUACCCAAGUCUGAAAAUCCAUAAAUAAUACAGAAAAAAAUGAUAAACAUGGGUUACUAUCACAGACUUUCCCAUUGGAGUGGACACUUAAAUAUGAAAAUCAAGUAUUUAACAAACCAGAUUCAGAUCCACCAUAAACUGGGCCGAAAAAUAGAAUAAGUAGACCCCAAAUCAAAUAAAAUAGAAGUUAUUCAGUCAUAGACAUAAAUAGUACUUUUGACCACUACAUUAGAAGCCUCAGCAUUAUUCUUUCUCAGAAAUGCAUAAUAGUGAGCUCGAUCAUCAAUUAGAGCUAACUCUCUUUCUGGCUUUACUUUUUCCUUAAUACCACCAUUUACUCGACCACCUCGACCACCUGUCUAAUUUCCUAUCCUCUCUAUAGAUGACCCCUGUUGUUGCCUCCCCUUUUUCUACCUGCUUAGACUAUAGCUUGAGUCUGUUGCUGCAUCUGGGCAUUCAUCUGCCUCACAAGAUGCUCCUUAUUAAAGUGACCAUAUGCACCAUAAUAGUAAUAUCCCUACCAAAGAUAAGGACUACUGGUAGAAGAGAAAGAAUCCCCUUGGCUCCUAAUAACUUAUGACUGAAAAGAACCCUUAGUUGGAACCACAAUAGAAGCUGGCAAGGCUGGCUGAAUAGGACGGGAUGAAUAGGCCUGUUGACCAUGGCCUUUAGAGUAACACCCAUUGAAAUUCCUAAUAUUUUGAGAUUUUUUGGCUAACAUCUUAGCCUGACCCACUUGGGUAAUCCCCUCAAACUUCUUCACAUCAUUAGAAACUUCAUUGAACCAUUUUUCUACCGAAGUCAUAUAAAUAGGAGAUACCUAAAGGUCAUAAUUCAAACCUUUAACAUAGAAGUUAAUCCUCUCCUCCUCAGAAGUCAACAACAAUGUAGCAUAGUGAUACAAGGCAUGAAACUUGGCCUCAUAGGAUACAACUGAUAUGUCACCUUGCUGUAAUGCCUAAAACCCAUCCUUCUUGCGGUUAAGAAAGGACCGUGGCAUAUAUUUCUCUAAGAACAAAGUGUAGAAAUGCUUCCAAGUUAAUGGAGGAAAAAUUGAUGAGUGACAUUCAACAUACGCUCUACAGCAUUGUGUAGCAUCCUUUUCCAGCUGAAAAGUCACAAAUUAAACUCCAUGUUGCUUCACAACCCUCUUAUUAUGAAACCUCUCAUAGAAAUCAAUAAUAAACUCAAAAGCUUCUUCAGUCUCAGUACCCUAGAAUGUUGGAGGUUUCAUUUUUAGAAAUUUUGUCAACAGUUCAUGUUCUGUAGCAAUCAUCAUGGAACCCAACACCAAACAAGAAAAAUCAUCGGUCCCUAAAGCUUUAUCCAUUCUAGGAGCUAUGGAGACAGUUUUAUGAUCAAUUGAAGCCUGAUAAAAUGGUAUGGUGGGUGUGACUACAGUCCUAUCUGAUCUUAGGUGGUUUUAUGCAGCUAAAACUUGCUAUCCAACCUUAAUUAGCCUUAUUUUGAGGACUUCUAGUGUGAUUAAUAAGCAAAUACUUGUAUAAAUUAAGCAUCUAAGUUUCACACUACUUGAUUAUAAUAUUUAAGGUGUGUUUCAAACAAUUUUGGAAUUAAUUUGGUCACUUAGGGUUUAGAUGAGGAAACUAGUAGAGUUUAGAUGAGGAAACUAGUGUUACUAGCUUGAGCUAUGUGUUAUUCUAGUUGUUCUGGAUGAAUUCUAGUGUGUGAAAUGAGUUAAUAAGGGUAUAAUUAUGUAAUUAUGUAUGGAAUAACUUGUUUUUAGUGUUUAAGGUUCAAAUGAGACAAGCCAAGAGACAAAACACUAAGUUAAAGAUCAAAAGAACAAAACUAGUAAUCUUAGCUUAAGUUACUAUUUCAUUGUCUUGGAUUGUAUGUUAUUUUGAGCUCUAAUUCGUGGUGGUUGACUCUAUAGUAGGCUUGGUGAGUUAAUAAUUAUUAUAUCUGGAUGAUACAAAAGCUGUAAAUCAAGUAGAAACAACACCACAAGGAUUAGAAAGGAUGGACAAACAUAUUGGACAAGACUUCACCAAUAAUGGAUGUUUUGGAGUCAUUGGCAUGCCACCGACCUUAGGCAGUGUGUUAGGCCCAUUACACACACUUGGGAGCAUCCUAAAUGACCAAUUACAUUAUAUCAGCACUAUUAUGGCGUUCCAUUAACCUUAGAAACCGAGAUAAUGGCAAGUCACAUCCCUAAGUCAAAAUCAACAGCUUUGUCGAAGUAUCAAUAAUGCACUUAGUUGUUAUAUUUCACACCUUGGAAGACCUUGGGACUUGAAAGUAGGCUUGAGAAAACAUAAAUUAGGAUUUUUUUUCUUCCAUUAUUUUUGUUUGUCUAUGGAUUUUAACAUGUAUUCACUCUUUGUAAUUACGGUUAUGUCCAUGAUCGGCUAAACCCCCUUUUCCAGGGUUAAGGCCAAGAACAUGAGUAUUAUGGCUAUGAAUUGAUUUGGUUUCAUUUUUAUUAUAUUUGGUUAUUUGUUUAUCAUUUUUAUCACUAUUUAAGGAUGCACAAUCCUUAUAAUACAUGAUAAUUAUCUUGUGAAUCCGGGAGGAGAAACAAGAGGAUAGAACGUGAGAUAGAUAGAAUAGUUGUAAUCUUCUAAUUGAAUAGAGCUAUAAUUUGUAUUUAGGAUAGGAAUAUACCUAUGUGCUCUAUUUGUUUCAAGUACGGGAUGAUAUAUGAACAUAUUUGUCUUAGUUCUCACAUCUCGACUCAACGAUGUAGUUGUGGGGCUAAGUUAGAUAAUUGAUUAGAGGUUAGGAAGGCCAUGUCAUAGUAUAGACCCUGUGAACCAACAAACAAGAUGAAUAACCUAUCCAAUGAAUUUUUAUUACGUAGCAUGAUUGUUCAUAGUGCCUUAGCCCUAGUUUUUCUCCAUUGUUUUUCAAGAACCUUCAAUUUACCGCAUUGUUAAGUUUACUCUUAGUUUACUGUCAAACAAUCCUGUGGUUACGUUAGCACUUAGUUAAUCUUAGUAGUUGGACUAGUCUGGGAUAGUUGUUAACACAAGUCUCCGAGGGAUCGAUACUUAGCUUUUAAAGGCCAUUUUACUUCUUGGUAGAUCAUGUACACUUAUGUGUGCACUUAGGCACAAUAAGUUUUUGGCACCACUGCUGGGGACUUGUAAUUUAGCAACCGUCAUAGUUGUAGUUUCAUAUUUUUAUUUAUUUGGUGCUUUUCAUUUGAUCUUGGCUUAUAAAUUUGCAGGAAUAGGUAGUAGACUAGUAAGCUAGCCAGGGAUAGGGAGUUGGUUGAACCAGCCCCGAGCCCGAGCAAUGCUUACACCAAUGAAGGAGAGAAGUAGUACUUCUCUAUAGAAUCCCACAUAUUCAUGUGGAACAAGACAUUCCUGNNNNNNNNNNNNNNNNNNNNAAGAAUCCACUAGUUUUUAGGACAGUUUGCGAAGUGGUCAUCCCACUUCUACUAAUGUGACCUCCAUCAUUUGAAUAUCGACUCUUGGAGGUAAUUUGAAUUGAAGCAAAAUAUGGAAAUCAACUUCUGCAUAAUAAUGGACAGUUUACCAAGCUAUCACAUGCAUAUCCACAAGUCCACUUGCAAAACUUUGUGGAGAUUAGUCACACAUUAAUCCCUAAGAGUGUGUCAACUAAUUUUGUGAGGCUGACACUCUUCACUUUUUCACUUUUGGGGGAAGAAAAAAUACAGUUGAACGCUGAGUCGGCAGGUUCAAUUACCACUUGGGAUGACUUAGUCUAGAAGUUCCUCAUUUGCUUCUUCCCAUCUAGCAAGACUGUGAGACUACGUAGUGAUAUUUUGAUCUUUAAUUAUAUGAAAAAUAAGAACCUAUACCAUGCUUGGAAGUGAUUUAAGUCUCUUCUUUGGAACUGUCCACAUCAAUAACAGUCUAAUGAGGUACUAUCUCACACCUUUGUUGAGGCAUUUGACUAUAACACAAAAAAUAUUCCAGAUUUAGCUGCAGGUGGUCAAUCUUUAAAAAAGACAUAUGAGGAGCUAUACACCUUAUUGAACCAAAUUACCCAAGGAAAUAUGAAUUGGCAUGGUAAUACCUCAAGGACGUCAGUAAAAAAGGUUGCAGGCAUGAUUGAAGGUUAUAUCAUCACCGCCUUGGCCGCCCAACUUUCAACUAUCCAAAAUCAGAUAAUAACUCAAUUUAGCAAGUUGGGUGUGCAACAGAAACAGGCAUAGGUUAAUGUAGUGCAACAAACCCCAUCAUGAUGUGAGACUUAUGGCACCAGUGGCCACUCUGCAGAUAAGUGUAGUGCCAAUCCUGAAUCCAUAAACUUUGUAGACAAUACACAAAAGCCGAAUUAUAUUAACGCCUACAAUCAAAAAUGGCAGAAUCAGUCAAUGUAUCCUUGGGGAAAUAACCAGCAGUAUUAGUUCUAGUAGAAGCAGCAUAAUACAUAGGUCAGUAACAUAGAUGAGACUUUACAAAAAAUUGGCAAACCAAGAACAAAUUGCUAGUGAAAUAAAAAAAAUCAAUAAGUAGCUCAAAAGCAGUUGGAGCAACAGCUGGGGAAAUUGCAGUAGGCAUAGAAUACCAAGCCUUAAGUUAGUUAGCCAAGUGAUAAUGAACCUGUUAAAGAAGUAAUAACAAUUACUUCGAGGAGUGGUAAAGAGCUGAAUGAUAGGCCUCCAAAGAUAAAUAAGGAGGUAGAUAUAUAGUUGGUUUCUCAACUAGUUGCAGACAGAGUUGCUGAAAAUUUGGAAAAGUUUGAGUACCCAAAGACAAAAGUUGUUAAAAAGGAAAGACCACUAAUCAUUCCCACAGUAGUUCCAGAAAUCAAAGAAGGAUGAAUGCUUCAAGAAAUUCUUUGACACGUUCAGAAAACUUCACAUUAACCUUCCUCUUUUAGAUAUUUUACAGGGAAUGCCUAAGUACUCUAAGUACUUGAAGGAUGUGGUGACUAAUAAGGUAAAGCUGAGAAUGUAGCAACAGUUGCAUUGACAAAGGAGUGCAGCUUUGUGGUUGUGAAAAAGAUGCCCAAAGUGAUUGGUGACGGUAAAGUACUCCAUACCUUGAGUGAUUUAUAGGCUAGUAUAAAUUUGAUGCCUCUAUCCAUAUUCAUAAAUCUUGGUUUGGGAGAGCCAAGAGCAUGGUCGUUGAGGCUGCAAUUGAUGGACAAGACCAUAGUUAAACCCGAUGAAAUAAUUGAGGGCGUAGUCGUAAAGGUUGGUAAGUUUGAAAUUCCUACUGAUUUUAUUGAUUUAGAUUAUGAUGCAUAUUACAGGGUACCGAUCAUUUUGGGAAAUCUAUUCUUCGCCACAAGAGGAGCGUUGGUAGACAUGAAAGGGGGCACUCUCAUAAUGAGAUUAAAUGACGAAGAAGUGGUUUUCAGAGUUUAUAAGCCACUUAAUCCAACUUUAUACUAAAAAGAUUUAUAUAUGAUUACAGUAAUGGAAGUGGAUAAGUGUGAGGUGGCAGAAAGUACACCAACAAAGAUCUCUUUGGACAGUCUUAUUGAGUUACCCGAGCCACCACCUAAUCCCAAAGUGAUGAUGAUUAAUGCUCCUAAAAAGUAUAAAAUUUAAAAAGUGAUGAUGAUUAAUGCUCCUAAAAAGUAUAAAAUUUAAAAAGUGAUGAUGAUUAAUGCUCCUAAAAAGUAUAAAAUUUAAAAAGUGAUGAUGAUUAAUGCUCCUAAAAAGUAUAAAAUUUAAAAAGUUGUUGACCUUGAGAGUGCACACUCAAGAGGUAAGAAACAAGUAAGAGAUGGCCUUCAAAUAGGAGAAAGGGGAUGGAGAGAUUCGGUUGAGUAGUGAUGUUGGGUCAUGUCGCGACACUAGAUCAGGCGCUUCUUGGGAGGCAACCCAAGUUAAGAUAGAUUUUUUUUUUAGUAUUUUAGUUUUCACUUCAUGUAGUUUUUGUUUUUGUUGAGUCACAGGUCGAUGGAAAGUCUGAGUACCGGAGACUAGAGUUAAGAAGCAUGGCAAAGACUGAGUAUGGGUCCCCGGACUCUUUUGAUGUUUAAAUAUGCUACUAGCUAGGCCUAGAGGCCUCAGGGAAUAUUUCUACCUCCGCAUUUAAAUUCAACUUUGAGGAGAAAGUAGAUUUUUAAGUGUGGGAUAGUGAAAUUCCCAUGGUUUCUAGUGAAGUAUGCUAUAGGGUUUUAGUCUUAAUUGUUUUCCUAGUUUUUUCCUAAAUUUGAAAAAUUACAAAAAUAUUUUUCUUUUUUUAGUUUUUAGUUAUUGGGUUUCAAUUGAGUAGGCGCACACUUCACUCACCCCAUAGUUGUUCUUUUCCAUGGGGGUGCUCUUUGAACUCUGUAUUUUUUAAAAAAAUUGUGAUUAGGUAAGUGAGAUGUUCUAGUUGGUGCUAUGUAUGAUCGCAUAAUACAAGAGGUUUUGUGUGUAAAACCAUUUUGUUUGUGUGAAUUACUAGUUUUGAGUCCCCUAGACUCUAAUUUAUGACUCUUGUAUAUUGUUGGCUUAAUUUCGAAUUCAUGUGGUUGAAUGAUUAAGAGUCUAUGAUGAUCCUACUUGAGUUGACCAUGUUCCAUGUGUGGUGUAAGAUUUUUUGUGUAUUUCUUAUUGAAUUUGAUGUCUAGAACUUACGGAUGUGUGUGCAAAGAAAUAAAGAGUGUGGUUUUAGGAGAUGAUAUAUGCAUUUCUUUAAUAGCAAUGUUUCAUACCCUCUUUUAUCUACCCUUGUGCAUAAUCCUAGUCUGCCCCGUUGACUCUUUAGGUUAUCCUUUGGUAGCCUUAUAUGUAUCAUGUUACUCUUCUUUGUUUGACCUAAACUGAUCCAAAUCUCUUAAGCUCUUUAGUUGAAAAUUAAUAAAGUGAAGGAGUGUUAAAACAAGAAGAAAAGAGGUGAAAAUGAGUCCCCAAAAAGUAGCUAUUGGUGUUGCAAAAUUAAUAUGUGUUGUGAGUGGGAGUUGUGCGAUGAAAAAAAGAAAUAUUGUGCUAAAAUUUGAUCUUGAAUUGAUGAAGAAUACUCCCUCAACAUUAUAACUGACUGGCUUAAUGAGAUGGGGCAAAAUAAAAGAGAAUGGGUAUGAUAGAAGUGGGAAAAAAUUGGUUGUUAAGAGAUUGAUCUUAAUGUUCAUGUGAUGUACUAAAGAGCUUAGGGAAUUUAGUCACUACAUUUAGUCAAAUAGUUCCUACUUGUCCCUUAACCUGCAUUACAACUUAUAAAGACCUAUUUGAUCUGGAGCCUUAACAUUCUGAUAUUAGUGGAGUACUACACUAAGGCAAGUCUAUGAUUCAUCAUGUGUAACUUGUGAAUUCUUUGUGAGAGUGAGCAUAAUUUGAUUGUUGUACUCAUUUUGUGAUAAAUUGCAUCUAUAUGAGUGUUAUGGGUAACUCUCUUGUUGUGAGGGCAUAUUUCUAAUGAUAGUUGGGUGAUUUGUAUGAUCUCAUUGACUGAGUAAUAUGCAUGAGUUUUCUAACUUGGUAAGUCAAUUCUUGAGGUUAGGAUGUUUUGAAGUAGUGUAUGAUCACAUUUCUAAUGAUAGUUGGAUGUUUUGAAGUAGUGUUCUUAUGUAUAACAUGCUUAAGGUAAAAACUUGUUAUCUGUGUAGUCAUUAUAGUACUAUCUUGAAUGUAUUGUUGGUAAUAGAAGUGUGGAGUCUUCUCUAAUUAUGAUGUUUAUAGUAAAGAGUUGUUCGAGAACGAACGAGGCUUUAAGUGUGGGGUAAUAGACAACCCACUUAGAAAAGCUAACACUUGUUGAAUAACCUGAGCGGACAAUGGGGUAGUCCUGCAACCCAAACUUGAGCCGCUACCUUGAGUUUCACACCUCAUUCCUCUACUACUUCCAUCUCCUCCAAAUGCUCCUGGGGUGGGGGAGGUGAUGCUGACCUCUCAAGAUGUUGACCAGUCGGUGCUUGAGCUCCAAACCUGGUGAGUGUGGCCUGUCUUCUCCUUCCCCUACCUCUUUCUCUCACUCGUCUUUUUCCCCCCUCAACUGGCUUUACAGCUGGAGAAGCCAUUGAGAGAGUUGCUAGUCAGUUUUAUUGGACCUAAUAUUCACCAUCUACAGACAAAAGAGUGAAAAAGAUUAGAUACCAAUUUGGAUCGCUAGAUACCAAUUGGAAUCAAGUUAUAGCAUGAAAGAAAUAAUAAUGACAAAUUUUCUAAAGUCUUAGAGUCUCUCGAAGAAAAGUAUAGAUGUCUUCGUACCAUUUCACAAGACUCUUCUUAACUCGUUUUGGUAUGAUAAGAUUGAUGAACCUAGGUAAUCUGAUACCAAAUUUGUCACAAUCCAAACUCAUUGUAAGUGACAUCCUUACUAUUCAUCCCGAACGAUAAUCCUAUAAUCUACACUUAGAAGAAAUAAGUAAAGAGCCAACCACUGGAAUCACAAGUGAGGUCUCGUAGGAUCUGCUAGAAUGUGCCAUGCACUCACAAAAGUAAAUCCAGAUGUAGUAUCAACACACAAGAAUAACAAUGUAUUGGUUGGACCAUUUGGUCAACCCAAGAUGAGAAUAUGAACAUAUAACUAAGUUAUAGUACAAUAAGUUAAUCCAUACUUAAUAAACAUCAACAAGUUAAUCCAUUCUUAAUAAACAUAUAGCAUAACAAGCAAUAAGUGUCUGCCAGUUAUACUAAGUUAUAUUGAAUAACUAGGAGUCAAACUAGUAAGUCAACAUAUUAUCACCAAGUCAAGUCUAGUCAAUCCAAGCCAAAAACAAGUCAGGACAAUUUAUUAGAUAUAAGAAUAUAUUUUUUGAUUCACACAUGAAACCAUCAAAUUCACUUGACCUUCGUGCAUACACGCUAAAGGAUAUACAACCAUCCUCUAGCCAUGACCUACAGGGGACAAUUACCGUCCAUGUACUAAAACCCCAGACACAAGUAUCUGCCAACCUUGUUCCACCAAAAGCCUGUGAGAACAUUCUAAAUACCAAACAGUCCACAUAUAGCAAGUAAGGCAGGUCAAAAUCAUAUAACAACCGCAAAUCAUUUGCAAAGACCACACCAAAUAACAUACACUAACAAGUCAUACUAUAAAGUAAUUAAUAUGCACAUGUAGCACAAAUUGGAUUAAACUACUAUAUCAUCACCUACCUGGAAGCAAGCUUGCAAAACUUCUCUAUGUCGGAGGUUUGCCUUUUCGUGCAAUUUUCGCUUGUUCGUGAUCUAGAACAUGCAUAUAAAUACAUAAUUAAAGAAAUGACCUAACAUGUCGGGAUUUGUAACUCACACCCAACUCCUAAUGUCAAAUUCAUGAUCAUUUUCUUUCCGUUUUAGGAUUUUUUUCACCGUAAUUCACCUAAAACUAUCGAUUUCAUGGAUAUUAGUGAAUUAACAGAAUCCAAAGAUAAAUUAAAUGCUAGUAGUCAAAACCUAUUAACUUAUUCCUUAAUUUUCUCUCCUACACCAGCAAUUAAUCAAAAUCUUUUCUAAAACCCUUUUUGAACUCCAUGAAUUAACAGUUGUAAGGCUUAAUAAUUAAAUACGUGUUAAUAGAAUGAAUUCCUUACUUUGACGGGGCCAAACAAAAAAAUUUUGGUGUGUUUCGCCCUAAAUCGCCCUUCUGUUGCAUCAAAAUGAGUAUUAGAAAAAUAAAUUAUUUUGGAGAAAAUUUUAAUAAAUCUGCGGUUUUCACCGCUACAGCAUUCAAGACCGCUAUAGUGGUGCCUCUAUAGUGGUACUGACCACUGUAGCAGUCGUUGACCAUCUUUGACCACCACUAUAGCAGGAAUUCCUCCGCUAUGGCACUUGCCGCUUCAGCAAUGCGCCGAUCGUUAUAGCGGAGUCGACGGGACAAAAUAUCCAUCUUCACCCAAAAAUCUCAUUUUUUACAUUGUACCUUAAAUCUCGGACAUUCCUAAUAGUGGCCCUUUACGCUAAAAUCAAUUUCGGAAGUUUUACUUACCCAAAUUUAAUUCCGUCAAUUUCUACGAAUUUUUUAUCAUCUUAACUAAAUAGAAAUCAAGACAAAUACUACUACCCCCAUCAAAAUCAUUCCCAUAUUUUCCGAUGCCUCACCUUGCUCUGAAAUCGGUCAAACUAAACUAUCCUAAAAUUUGUAACUUUCAAACCUAAAAGAAUUUGGACUAUGUAACAACGGAGAGGGUCCUUACACUACGCCAUUAAAUUGCGUCCGGUGUGUGUUUCAUAUGCUCCAUCCCAAUAUCACCCUGAGACUAUCGCCCUGAAAACGUCUUUUGAAAAUAUUGUUUUUGACUCUUUCUUCAAUUUUAAAAAUAGAUUUAAUUUUUGGAUCAUUUUCUUUUAAUUUGCUUUUGAAUUUAUUCACAUAUGGUUGUCGAAUAAAUUUUCUAAAAGUGAACUAAAUUCUCUAGAAUUUGAUUUCUAUUUUAAACACGGCAAUUUUUGAUGUGUCUCUGGUAGGUCAUAAUCCAAAAUCAGCCACAUCUAUUUAUAUAUACUAGAGCAUGGUCCAACAUGGUAAGCAUCAAUUUUUGAAAUUAUUAUAAAAAUAGUAAAAUAAAUUAUUAUUAUUAAAUAAUUAAAAUUUUUAAUUAUUUUAAUUUAUAAUAUUUUUUCUUCUAUUCUUUUUUAAGUGACACCGAUAUAAUUUUGAGAGUUAAGCAAAUAUCACGAUUGAAGUAGCGAAGCAAACAUGUCUUAAAUGACUUAUAAUAACUAAUUAGAAGUGAUAUAGCAAAAUUGCUAGAAAAAAUACUUGUAAAAAUAAUUUAAGAGAGUCUCAUAUAAGAUGUCAAGUUAAUUUAAAAUAUAAAUAGUUAAUUGAUCAUUUCAUGUCUAUUUUACUUUUUUUUUUAAUGAAAUUUAAUAACUUUUUAAUAUUUAAAUGAUUUAUAAUUAGAGGUGAUGUAGUAAAUUAUGGUUGAAGCAGUCGAAGCAGACAUGCCAUAAAUGUCUAUUUUACUUAUUUAUUUUAUUAAUUAUUAUUAAUUUUCUAAUACGUAAAUGACAUAUAAUAAUUAAGGGUGAUAUAGUAAAAUUACGGAGCAAACAGUGGUCGACAAGCAUGUCGAUCACCGAAAAGAAAAAGUUGUUAAAAAAAUAAAAUUUAAUUUCCCUGUUUAUGUAUUUUAUGCUUCAUUUAGUUGUACCUAAUAAAAAUUGAUAUUUUAAUCACUCAGAUCUUACAUCGUAACUAUGUAUUUACCUUUUUUGUUUGAAUCUAAUUAUUUAGAUCUCAAUAGGUGUACUACUUUCAUACCUUUUUUUGACACAGAUAUUACUAUUGCAAAGUACUUUAUCUGAUCAUUUUUAAUUUUUAUUUUUUUUAUCUAUUUUAUCCUUAUUAUAUUAUUUAUAAUCUAAUACUUAAAUGACUUAUAAUGACUAUUUAGAAGUGAUAUAAUAAAAUUACUAUAAAAGUUACUUGUGAAUUUUUUUUAGGUGAACCCUGUAUAAAUCGUCAAGUUAAUUUAAAACAUAAAUGGUUAACUAAUUAGAAGCGAUAUAAUAAAAUUACUAUAAAAAGUAUUUGUGGAAAAAAAUUUAAGUGGACUCUAUAUAAGUCGUCCAGUUAAUUUAAAACAUCAAGUGUUAACUUAUAAUUUUGUAUCUAUUUUAUCUUUCCUGUAAAAAAAUAUUAUCAAUUUUCUAAUGCUUAGAGGAUCUAUAAUAAUUAAUUAGGUGUGAUAUAGUAAAAUCACGAUUGAAGUAGUUGAAGCAGGCAUGUCAUAAAUGUCUAUUGUGUGUUUAAAUUAUAUAUUAUUAAUUUUCUAAUACGUAAAUUACUUAUAACAAUUAAUUAGGAAUGAUAUAGUAAAAUCACGGUUGAAGCAGCUGAAACAAGCAUGUCAUAAAUAUUUAUUUUACUUUUUUUAUUAUAUAUUAUUAAUUUUCUAAUACAUAUAACUUAUAUAACUAAUUAGGGAUGAUAUAGUAAAAUCAUGAUUGAAGCAGCUGAAGCAGACAUGUCAUAAAUAUCUAUUUUACUUUUUUAAUUAAAUAAUAUUAAUUUUUUAAUACGUAAAUGACUUAUAAUCAUUAAUUAUCUAAUAUUUAAAUGACUUAUAAUAAUUAUCUAGAAAUAAUAUAAUAAAAUUAUUAUAAAAGUUACUUGUGAAUUUUUUUUAAAGUGGACCCCGUAUAAGUCGUCAAGUUAAUUUAAAACAUCAACGGCUAACUAUUUAAAGCGAUAUAAUGAAAUUACUAUAAAAAGUACUUAUGGAAAAUGUUUUAAGUGAAAUUCAUAUAAGUCGUUAAAUUAAUUUAAAACAUCAAGAGUUAACUUAGAAUUUUGUGUCUAUUUUCCCUUUUUUUAUAACAUAUUAUCAAUUUUUUAAUGCUUAGAUGAUCUAUAAUAAUUCAUUAGGGUGAUAUAAUAAAAUCACGAUUGAAGCAAUUGAAGAAGACAUGUCAUGAAUGUUUAUUAUAUUUUUUAAUUUAAUAUUAUUAAUUUUUAAUACGUAAAUGACUUAUAAUAAUUAAUUAAAAAUGAUAUAGUAAAAAUCAUGGUUCAAGAAGUUGAAACAGGAAUAUCAUAAAUAUCUAUUUACUUUUUUUAAUUAUGUAUUAUUAAUUUUACAAUACGUAAAUAACUUAUAAUAAUUAAUUAAAGAUUAUAUAGUAAGAUCACGGUUGAAACAGCUGAAGCAGACACGUCAUAAAAAUCUACUUUAUUUUUAAUUAAAUAUUAUUAAUUUUCUAUUACGAAUGACUUAUAAUAAUUAAUUAAGGAUGAUAUAGUAAAAUCACUGUUGAAGCUGCUGAAGCAGACAUGUCGUCCAUAAGCUGCAUGCUUUAGCAGCUUAUCCUUACUUAUAUAUAUACUAGAUACCCGUGUCAGUGCAAGGCGCGGAUAUUUUUGACAACACUAAUGUGCAAAAGAGAUUCAACUUUGGGGAAGAUUAUUUCCUAUUUUUUUUAAUUGUUUGGUAUAAGAGUAAAAGAAAAGAAAUGUAAUACAAUGAACCAAUGUUAACAUAAUAUAUACAUUCAGUGUAGUCAUUUAAUAAGGAACAAAAAAAGAUAUUUAUAAAAAAAAAUACUAUUAUAUAUAAUUCAAUUACAAAGGUCUAAAUAAAAAUAUUAUUAAAAUAAUACCUGAGAAAAAAAACUAAUAAAUAUAAGGAAAAAAUAAUAUGCAUGUGUAACCAUUUUAUUGCACCAUAAAAAUGAGGAUAAAAUUAAUAAAUAUAAGAAAGAAAUCAUAUGCAUGCGUAACCAUUUUAUUUACUACUAUACAUAAGUGAAGGUUGAUGUGACUAAAAUUACCCAAAUACCCUUGGUAGUCACCUCAACCUUCACUUAUAUAUAGUACAUAUGCCUAGAGCGUACUGAGACGUUCAUUUACAGAUUCACUAAAUUCAAUAACUUUUAUCUCAACUCUAGAUAUAUGUAUACAUAUUAUGAAAUUAUUGGUAAAUAUUUAUAAAUGUUUGAUCAUGAACUCAGUUAUUAUUAUAGUAUUAACUUAAAGUUGAUAUAGAAACCUAUAAAUUGUUACUAAUGAAUCUGUCUGAUUACAUUUUGGAGACGGAGACAAAAACGGGCCAAUCAUGUUAUGUAUGAAAUGACUCUUGAUCAGAGGUAACAUUUCAUGGCUUCAUAUAUGUUGAUAAGCCAAUAUUAUUCUAUAUAUGUUGUGUAUUUCUUAGCCAAACGUUAUAAUUAACAUGGCUUCGGUGAUUGAGCUAUGUCAAGUUGCACUUUGAUCAAAUGUGGUUACAAUUCUACUGUGUACGGCGAUUACUGUUCUUACAUUAAAAAUUCAAGUGCUUCCAAGCUUCAGUUACUACAAAGUAUUUUUUUUUUUUGGAGUUUCUUCCAACAAUUUAAAAAUACUUUUCAUGAUAAACCUUUGCAGACUUAAAAUAGUCAAGUAAAAGAACAUCUUUUGUUGCCAUCUUUUGAAAUUAACAUCAGAAUUUUUUUUACAAUUUUUUUGCCAGUGCCAUGAUAGGAGCAACAUUCGAAUGACUUGAAGUAGCAAUGUUAGUUGCUGCAACAUUCGUCGUUUCAUCAUUGACAUAGUUUCAAGUAGUCAUUUUACUGUCACAAUUAGACAACCAAUUAGUAUCACAAAUACUAACAAUAAAAUAUUAAACUUUCAAACACUUGUUUCUGGUUUGACGAUGAAGUUUUUAUAUUCUUCAAAUCGUCAACCGAAUGAAUCUUUGACUCAUGAUGAAGUCUUUACAUCUUCCAAUCAUGAUGAAAUUCAAAUAGAGUAGAAAAUCAAAAGGCAUUAAUCUUUGGAAAGCAAAUAUAGAUAUAAGUACCAUAAUUUCCUAAAGAUUGUUGUUUUUCGGGUACACUAAACAAAAUUUGUAUUUUCAACAAGAACUUCAAUCACAAGUUCAAACAACUUAUGAACAACCAUAAAGAGUUCAAACUAUUUUCUAGGAAAUAGCAAAACCAAAUGUUUAGAAAGAGAUGAAGAUAGCAAGAUUUAAGUCCACCAAAUUUACGGUGUGUCUUCAAGAAAAUUAUUCUCCUCAAAUAUCCGAGAUUAUGAAAUAAAUCCUCCCAGAAUAAGAUGAAUCACAUUAAUAGUGGUACCUCAAAUUCUGUCAAACCACGAACGUACUCAACGAUUUGCAAAUCACACUUAAAUUUUUAGGAAUAAAAAGAGUUAUGACUUCAAAAUUUUGUAUCAAUAGUUAAGAAAAAUCAAAUACUUAUAGUCAAAAGAUGUUCAUUCUGAAAAUUAAAGAAACAAUUAUUUGUGAAAAGUUGUAAUUUUUUGAAAUAUCGAGACAACAUGUGAAUCCCACAUACGGUUGUACAGCACGACAUGCGUCCGCAUGUCAUUCAUUGCACAAAGCAGUGUGUUUUAGAUGACUUCUGUUGACAAAUGCACUAUCAUCUGCAUCCACUGAUGGCUAAGUGCGCUCACAAGUCCCAUUUUCAUUUUCAAAUAGUGCCUCGAAGGGUUGCGUCCCUUCGAAGUACAUUAUGACUGCACAUGCUUGUGUGUGUUCACAAAUAGAGAAAAAUUUUGUAUCAAAUUUUUGAACUAAGAAAUCAUUAACUCUCAAAUUUCAAAUAAAUUUUGUCUAGAAAGAUAAUUUUUCGAUCAUUUGAAAAAUCUAAAUUCAAAGCCAAAGCCUUCAUCUCAUCAAGCCGAGUGAGCGGCAACAACAGUGUAAGGCUUGUCUCCUUCUUGCCUCACUAACUACAUGAAAAAAUGCUUCUAUAUUUAAGCAUAAAAUAGGUUCUUUCUCCCACCAAUGUGGGAGAACACUUCUUCUAUAAAGUGAAUACACAUUUUCACUUUCCAUUCAUUUUUCUUUCCUCAAAUUUUCAUUCAUUUUCAUCACUAACCUAACAAGCUAUUAUUAUAAUCCUUUCAUUCAAAAUAUUUGGUAGCACGUUUACUAAAAAUACUUGUUUUAAAAUAACUAUCAAUUUAAAGAUCAAGAGAUCAUUAAUUAUUCUUUUUCAACUUAGCCUUAGCAUUAAUUAAGGGUAGCAUUAAUGUAUUUCAUAGUCUUGUGCAAUGAAUAACUUCUUUUUUGAAUCUUUUUUUUUUAUUUCUGUUUUCUAAAGGUAAUGAUCAAAAAACACCUAAUAUAUCCUAGUUCUUUGAGUUUCAUAUGUAAACUAUUCAAAAUGUGAGUUUCCUACCUCAACAUUACUCAAUGGUUAGCGAAACGUACCUAGAGGCUCACUAGAUCAAAUAUUAGUUUACAAACUUUUCUACGCAUGUUUGGCCAUAAAAUAUUCGUCCACCAAUCACAUAUAACGACUCUAUAAGUUGUCACAUUAUUUUUAUUUUAAAAUUGAUUUCUUCAAAACCAUAAACUCUCCCCUACCAAGUGGCUAAAACGAGACCACUACUGAGAAGUUGGAAAAGAAGACGUUGAAUGCCACAAUGGAUGAAUAUAAUUAAUUUGUAUGGUUAUAAUUUUAACCUUAAUUAGUUACAGUAAAUUUUAACUUGAUAUUAGUUUAUUUAAUUUUGCCACAAUGAAAUUAUUUUUUCAUGUUUCCACCCUAAACUAUACUCGAAAAGUUUAGGUCACACCUAAACUAUCAUAGUGAUCUAUUACACACCUAAAUUAUAUAAAAGUGAAUUUUUUUACCCCCUAAAUCUGAUGUGGAAAAUACAUAAUUAUUUAAAUAAAAAAAGGUGCGUCUAAAUUACAAAUUAAUGCAAAAAUAAAUAAGUUAAAAUACUCCUCCCCCCAGCCCCCAGCAUCCAUCUCCCCUCCCUCACCUCCAAACCAUCAUCUUCUUCAUCACCCCCACCCCUAAACUCCAACCCCACGCCAACCAACGUAUCUUCUUCAUCACCCCCACCCCCAAACUCCAACCCCACCACCAGAUAACAAAAUUUCUUCACAUCCUACCAUCUAUCCCCACCAAAUCGAUGCUAAUUUCACCUACCGCCGUCAAUGAAGUAAUCCAAUUACCUAAAACUAUGCAGUCAAUCUAGAAAUGAAGUAAUCCAAUCACCAAAUAAAUGUUGCCAUAGUAAUCGGGAAAAGAAAAAUUGCAAAAUAUUACUCCCGUUGAAAACUACGAACAAAAAACUUAAAAAAAAGGAACAGAUAACAACUAUUUAUUCUAAGAAGGUUCUUUCCAGGUCUAAAAGUUCUAACUUUACGGGCACUGAUAAUUUUGUCGAUCUCUAGCCAAUGUCGAGUGUUUAGUGACUUCUAAUUGUAAUUAGAUUGCUAAAAUUAGUGUGUACCCGAUGGAAGACAAUAAUAUCUAUUUUUGAUGUAUCUUCUCAACCCUUCAAUUAGAUGCAUAGGUGUUAAUGUUAUGGAAAAAAACAAUGGAAGUUUUGGCUGCAUAGUUAUGAUAAUUUUGUUGGUGGGAUAAACCUCCGUUGACCUCAUAACAAAAUCAAAUAAAGCUCUUCAUUUCUAAACUGGCUGCAUAAUUAUGGUUAUUUUGUUGGUGGAAUUAAGUUUAUGGUGGUGAAUAUGGUGUUCAUGACCUCAUAACAAUGGAGGUUUUGAACAUGAGAUAAUACAUUGAAACACCCCUAAAUUUGUAGCCAAAACUUACUUUAGACCCUAAACUUGUAUGACAAUUAUUUACCCUCCUUAAUAACUUUAAAGUGAAUUUUGUACCACCCUAAAAAAAUUAUACCACUCUCACUAUGGAGAGUGAAGUACACACGCCCCACGUCAUUGCCAACUCAGUGCCAUGUCACUGCCACUUAAGAAAUUAUAUAUAUAUUUUUAAAAAGUAAUCCAACACACAUAUUAUUUUUAUAUAUUUUAAAUAUAUAUAUAUAAACCUACCCCACCCCCGUCCUCCUCCUCCUUCUUCUUCAAUAGCCAACCCCACCCCACCCCCGUCGUUCCUCCUUCUCCUUAUGCUUCAAGAGCCCCCUACCCCUACCCCUUAUUUUCUCCUUCUCCUUAUGCUUCUACAGCCCCCGCCACCAUUAACAUCAAUAACUUUCACUCAAUUAAUAAUGACUCACCGAAAAAUAUCCACCUCCAUCGUGAACCACCCUACAAAUUCCCCCAAAUGAAUCACUAAUGAAAACUCCACAUGAUAGAGAGAUUUAUGAACUUGGAAGGAAGAUUUGGGAUAGAGAUGCUAUUAAAGAAAAGAAAAAAUCACACAUAGAUGAUGUGAAUUUGGAUGAGUUUUCAUUAUUAGUGAAUGAAAUGAAAGUGUAUUUUUCAAAUUAUGAAGAAAGGUUAAAGAGAUUGGGAAAGAAGAAAUUGAAAGAAAUGAAUGAGAAAUGGAUGGAGUUGAAAUUGGAAGAAUCUGAACUUAUGGUAAAUAAAAGUCAAUUGUUUCAUGAAAAUUUGAAAUUUGUUGUUGAAGGUUCAAUAGGUGUGAGAAAGAAGAAGAUAUAGGAGUGGUGGGGUGUGAGAAAGAAGAAGAAAUGAGGGUGGUGGGGUGUGGGGAAGGAGGAGAAAAAAAUAAUGGUUAAAAAUAUUAAAGUGGGCCCCACUAAAAAUUUUUUAUACUUUUUUUUUACUAAAAUGCGCUUUUAUUUUAUUUUUUGCCACGUCAGCCGUUAAGGGGACAAAAUAAUACACUUUAAAAUCGUUAAGGGAGGUAAAUAAUUGUCAUAAAAGUUUAGGGUCUAAAGUAAGUUUUGGCUACAAGUUUAGGGGUGUUUCGGUGUAUUAUCUCUUUGAACAUUGACCUCAUAACAAUGGAGGUUUUGGACAUUAAAGAAGAAAAUAAAUUAAAAAGAAAUUUUUUUUAUGAAAAUAAUAAAUUUAUUAUUUUUUUCGUAUUAUGCUGACAUGACGUUGACGUAGCAGGCGCGUGUGAAACACCGCACCACAUACAAGUGGUAUAAUGCUUUACAGGAUGUAAAAAAUAUCAUUUUUAUAUAGUUUAGGUGUUUAAUAGGUCACUAUGAUAGGUUUAAGUGUGACUUUGACUUUUCGAAUAUAGUUUAGAGUGAAAACAAUGACUUUUCCCCAGAUUUUAAAUAAAGGCCAGAGUGCAGUACACAUAUCAUUAGAUAAAAAGCGACAUGUAUUUCGCUAAGCAUUGGGUCAUAGUUCAUUUUGGAAACUCCCCUCCUAAUAUGUCAAGUAUAAAACUCAAAAAUAUGAGAUAGUUUAUAUGUGUUUUUAAUCAGUGUUUUAAAAGAAAGGAGCGCGAAGAGAGACAUUUUACGUUGUAGGGGGUGAGGCCUAAGCCCUGAGGCAUAGUAAAUAUGAAAUGUAUAUCCCAGGCAUCUUCAGUUUUAUAAUUUUAUACUAAAAAAAUAAGCAAAUAUAGAUUUUCAAUAAUGCUGUAACUAAAGUUAAAUAUUUCACCGACAAUUAGAAAAAAAAUCUUAUAAUUAUUAUUUGAAAAAGGUAUCAACACAAAAAUAAUAACAAUCAAGAUAAUCUUUAAAAUGAGAUAUCAAUAUAUAUUCAUCUCUAUAUUACUGUACUAGUCCUUUCCCAUCCUCAACUAAUAUUGCACUGAUGAUUGUUGUUUAUAUAUUUCAAAGAUGGAAAAUAAUAUAAAUGUAAAAGUAAUAACAAAAAUGGAUACAGUUUCUCCGUAAACAUAGUGCUCUGAACUAUAUAUGUAUCCUUUUCAAUUUUAGACAUGAUUAUAAAAAAUUAUAUAUGAUAGCGUCAUUUUAUAUGAGUAACUUUUUUUAUUUAUAUAUUUUAAAAAAGAUCACUACAACUUGAAAAAAGGAUAGCAUAAAAUGUAAAUAUCAUUAUACCAAUUAUGAAAAACAUAAUUUAUAGAAAAAAUACUUUUAAAAUAGUAAAAAGUAAACUAACUCCCGGGACAUACAUUCUUACGCCCGGAAAUUAGAACUUUAUGUUCGGGACUUAUGCGUUGAAUUCAAUUGUGUACGUCUUUAAAUUGCGUCCGGUGUGUGUUUCAUAUGCUCCACCCAAGAUCGCCUUGAGACUCGUCUUGAAAAUGCCUUUUGAAAAUAUUGAUUUUGACUCUUAAAUCAAUUUUCAAAAUAGAUCUAUUUAGACUAAAUUUUCUAAAGAUCUCUAAAAUUCUCUAGAAUUUGAUUUCUAAUUCAAACAUGUGUAGUUUUUGAUGUGUCUUUGGUAGGCCAUAAUCCAAAAUCAGUCACACAUGCCUUUGAAUAAUGCAUCGAGACAACAGUUCAAAUUAGGACAAAAGGCGCCAGUUACAACCACACACAUUUACUGCCACAUAUGCCUAGGGCGUACUGAGAAGUCCACUUAUGGAUUUACAUGACUUCAAUAACGUUUAUCUGAACUCUAGAAAUAUGUAUACGUGUAAUGAAAUUAUUGAUAUAUAUAAUUAUAGUAUUAACUUAAAGUUGAUAUAGAAACCUAUAAAUUGUAACUCAUGAAUCUAUCUGUCUGAUUACAUUUUGGAGACGGAGACAAAAACGGGCCAAUCAUGUUAUGUAUGAAAUGACUCUUGAUCAGAGGUAACAGUUUAAUGGCUCCAUAUAUAUGUUGAUAAGCCAAUAUUAUUCUAUAUAUGUUGUGUAUUUCUUAACCAAACGUUUUAAUUAACAUGGCUUCUGUGAUUGAGCAAUGUCAAGUUGCACCACCUCCUGGUGGUGUUGAUGAGCUGACACUCCCACUCACCUAUUUUGAUCAUAUGUGGUUAGACUUCCACCGUGUACGGCAGAUACUAUUCUACAAGCUCCCUAUAACCAAACCCAAUUUCAUCGAAAACAUUAUUCCUCCUCUUAAAGAUUCACUCUCCCUUGCUGUCAAACACUAUAUACCCUUAGCUGGCAAUGUUGCUUGUCCAAUAAAUUCAAACGGAUAUCCUGAGUUACGUUAUGUGACAGGAGAUUCUGUGUCAAUUACUUUUUCUGAGACUGAUAUGGAUUUCAAUUAUCUCAUUGGUGACCAUCCCCGUAGUGCUACGGAUUUUUAUCACUUUGUUCCUCAGUUGGCUGAACCUAAGGAUGCACCGGGGGUCCAAUUAGCCCCUAUCUUAGCCAUUCAAGUGACACU